GUACCUAAUCCCAGCAAACAAAAAUAUUCAACAAGUCUCUGCGAAUUACGAUGAAGAAAAGAUGAAUUUUAAUUAAAAAGAGGUGACUAAAAUGUAAAGAGAUGAGUGAGAGGACUUGCCACAGAAGCAACAAAGACUGAGAAGGCAAUACACUUUGUGAUACCAUUUCCUUACUUUGGGCAGCAGAGCAAUUCGCUGAAGUUGCAGUAACAGAUCAUCUCACAUCCCUUCC
This is a long non-coding RNA of Pan troglodytes (chimpanzee), 232 nucleotides long. RefSeq lists it as uncharacterized. The transcript is spliced from 3 exons. NCBI's taxonomy places the organism in Eukaryota, Metazoa, Chordata, Mammalia, Primates, Hominidae. The record is from RefSeq and is a predicted model, not a curated record.